This 30-nucleotide non-coding RNA is filed under the name Homo sapiens (human). Lineage: Eukaryota; Metazoa; Chordata; Mammalia; Primates; Hominidae. The record is from RNAcentral.
UGGUAGUUAUGGAGACCCCCCAGGUGUUUA